CUUACUUCCCCGUUUUAAAACAUUUUUUCACGACCUGUGUCCCACGCUAUGGUUUGUGUCCAACGAGCAGCCUUCCCGGCUCGCUCCACAACUCAAUACAGUUACAUGAGUACAGCGCCUAUGUCCAGAUCCGUCUGCCAGCUGCUUGUUGCUGGUUUGUGUUUAAAAUGAUAUGUUCACGUAUGUUCAAACGAGCUAUGAACCUUAUGUCACAUUUUUUGACAAACCCGUUAGCUGUGGUGGUUAAACAUAUCGAGCCAGUCCCAUGUAAAUCAUGCAGCAUAAUACAGUGAAACAUGGGUGGCAUAACUUGAUCAUCUCAUUCAAUAUACCGGGUAGUAUUUACUGAGGGAGGCUAUUUUAGGGAGCGUAUCUCCUAUGAAUAUUUUCAUUGGCGCGAAAGGUAGUAAUUUGCAAGGUCAUGACCCUAUGGCCUACGCAACAUAGCGCGUGGUGCAGGGAAGUAGGUCAUGUGAUUUCACGAAGUUCAGGUGGAUGUAAGGGAGGUGUUCAUUUCAUUUGUUGAUAACACAUCAAUUGUGAUAUGAAGGCCAGUCACUGGACGGUCGGUGUAUGAACGUAUACGGUGAUGUCGUGGCUGUCGGGGGAGGAGUGUGUCCCUGUGUCAGCCAUUGCAGAAGUAGGAUAGUUGAUAAAACACGUGGCCACAGCACCAGGACGCUUUUACUGGGAUAGACAUCUAGGGAUGACACACAUGGCUAGCUGUCGGUCCCCAAGAGGCAGGUAUGUUCACACUGUCUCUCACCCUUCAGUUGGUCCACACCAGUUAUGUGGACGACAUCACCUCACAUUGUACAGAUUCGGGUCUUGCUGUAUUGUCAAGCGCAACCUACGUUUUGGAAAGAAAUUAAUUUAGUCUGUUUUCACCAAGUUACACGUCUGUUUUCGGCUUCUUCUCGCCUGGGUGACAUUUGAAGGUACAGGUAUUCGUCUGUGCAUACGGCUAUGUUACUGUUUCUGUUGAAUAUACACGACAGGGCUCAGGUAUAGUGGCUGUACGAGGUCGCCAGAUGUUGCAGCCUAUUUAAGGCACAUCGACAGCUGUGUGUUUGGGUAUUAAAUGACAGUCGAUUAUAGGGGCCUUCACUUGAAUCAGCUAUUGUUAGACAGGUUUAUAGAUAAUGCUCCACCGAGGCAGGGCGACGUCACCUCGGGUUAGGACUAUGAAGGGGUUGAGUUCACACGGCAAGGUCGAUGCCUCGAUGCCCACAUCUGUGGAGCGGUUCAUGACCCACGUUACGUCACGGAAGGACGUGGUUAAGGUUGUGUCGUCGUGAACUGGUUGCCAGGGUAUAGUGGCGGCCGUCCCCAGGGGUCACUCAAGUGUGUUGGAUCCACGUACAGUUGCCAGACACGGUCCGCAGUUUCUACCGGAAGUGCUCACUUCUCAGUGGUGUUUCACUCGACUGUGUCACGUGAUCAGCAACAUCUCGCACUACAUGAUCACGUUUCCUUGUCACUGUUUCGUCCCGUGUGUUAAGCGAGACUGGACGGAAAACUGAUAAGGGCACGUGUUGUGUUUAACUUCCUAGGCGGCGUCCUCAACAACUAUUUCACCUCCUCUUCUGACCGUGUGCUUGGCAUCUAGCUGUCCAAUGAACAAGCUGCAUUCCACACCACAGCCAAUCAGAUAAAUGCCAAUGCUUUCAACCGCCUGGUGCCGUGACUAUGGCGGAAGUCAACUUGCCCUUUACGGAUGGACAUAUACAGGAGCGCAGUGCGCGGGGCAGGACGUUGUUGUGCCGGAAGGUGGAAUAUUGCAGUUAAUGCAUGACUAAGUGAAUUCCUUCACCGUAUCCUCUGACGCAUGGUCUGUUGCACCUUGGUAAUUAUAGUUUUUUUUUGCAUGUGAUAUACUAUUUUCAAGCACCUAAAAACGUUGUUAUAUUUUAUUACCAUUUUCUAGUUUUUGUCACUUGAACCCACUUCACAGUGAGCAUUGUGAUGUAGGGGCCACAUAGCUAUGUAGCCUUCUCCUACCCAGUGUGUGGGGGGCUCAACGGUGUCAGUCGCCUGCCCUGCACCCAGUGUCGCACAAACAUCCCCAGCCAGAUAGUCAAUAGGUGAGGUGAGAGGGGAGCCCCCUGCCUCCCACCAGAUGAUGUGUACAGACACGUCGCCGGUAACCUGCUGACUCCAGCCGCGGAGAAACCGCAACAUUAUUAUCGGGAUCAUACCAAGGGAGGUAACUAGGACAAAGGUAAAACUGUGUUAUCUUUUCCUAUCUCUUUUGUACUCAUCUUCCCAGCACGAAGCCCGGGUGUAUUAUAUUCGCCUGUCACCUCCCCUUGUUAAGCUGAUCAUUCUUUCAUGUUGAGACCAGCUACUGUCACUGUGUGGUUGUGUCUAUGCUUGUCAAGGGAGGAGUAUUUUCAGCUCUCACUCAAGUAUGCUGGGAGUAGCGUACUAUCUAGGCCAACCCAGCAACACUCUGAGUUCAGUGACUCUGCCCUACUUGAUCUAGAUCGAUGAGGGAAUGAACGACUAGGUACAACAGUUCUUCCUCUCAGUGAGCCCGAUCGCAUUUCCCACAGAUACUCCUGCACCCCGACCCGACAAAACCCUUCCCUCAACCAUAUAUAUAACUUCCACCUCAGUACCAUCUUAACCCCAUCUCGCAAUCUACAGUAUCCUGCCUUGGAUGCCCAACCCAUCAUCUCACAGUCCCCUAACCUCAUCCUUAUAUAUUCACAGGUUACAGUCUCACCCCGAACUUUAGCCCAGCACAGUCAACCCCCCCCCCCCCCCCCCCAACCCAUGACGUUGCACAUUCCACAACUCCAUUCCCACUGACUUCAGCUCCUAACAUUCACCGCCCCACAAACCCAGUUUACCUAGGCCUGUGAGCCCCUGCCCCCAGAAUCCCAGCCCAUCAUUACCCCCCAACCCUUAACUCCAGUCAGCCCCCUAUCUCGGAACCCCACCCCACGGUCACUCUAUUGGUUGUUUCAUUCAAUCCGACUGACGUUUAAAAGUGUUCAUCUACUGUCACAAACGUUUUACUUUCCUAGAUCUGAACCCGACCGAGGACCGAACAUACCCUGGAACUAUCCACAGCUGGUGGUUCAGACGUCAUCGGCCAUGUUCAGGCGACUACAAGCGUCUACAGGAUACUCGAUCUCUACCUGUACACCUUAUCAGUUUUUCGUCCAAUAAUUUGUGUGACUGCAUGUUUUGUGAGACUGCAUGCAUGUCCAUGCGAGUUUUGAGAGGUCGGGUGUUGAGAUUUUAUGAACGCUUGGUGAGAAUCCUGAGUGCGUGAAUUUGAAAUUUCAGCUGUCGUGACGUGGGGUAGAGACGGGUGGCGACGGUCGACAUCAUAUCACCAAUUUCACGUUUCCUUGUCACUUGUUCGUCCCGUGUGCUACUGGUCACUGGACGGAGAACUGAUAAGGGCUUGUGGGUGACCAUCCGGCGGAAUGACCAAAGCCCAUACCAACCGAAACCACAAAGCAAGAGGGUGGACACCCCGUGACCCGCUGCUGGAUCGCGAUGCCGCACAGUGACCACGUUGCGCACACCGCCGUCAUAUCAUCAUCGCACUUCAUAUGUACACUGAAUAAACGUUCAAUUUAA
This is a long non-coding RNA of Haliotis rufescens (red abalone), 3597 nucleotides long. RefSeq lists it as uncharacterized. The record is from RefSeq and is a predicted model, not a curated record. The transcript is spliced from 2 exons. Lineage: Eukaryota; Metazoa; Mollusca; Gastropoda; Lepetellida; Haliotidae.